This 72-nucleotide transfer RNA is filed under the name Bos taurus (domestic cattle). It matches the Rfam family "tRNA". Rfam says of the family: Transfer RNA (tRNA) molecules are approximately 80 nucleotides in length. The record is from Rfam by way of RNAcentral. Lineage: Eukaryota; Metazoa; Chordata; Mammalia; Artiodactyla; Bovidae. RNAcentral also lists the same sequence under 3 other names.
UCCCUGGUGGCUCAGAGGGCAAAGAAUCUGCCUGCAGUGCAGGAGACCCAGGUUCAAUCCUGGGCCAGGAAG